RNAcentral lists this ribosomal RNA (487 nucleotides) under Staphylococcus aureus. RNAcentral describes it as "partial 23S ribosomal RNA". It matches the Rfam family "Bacterial large subunit ribosomal RNA", at positions 798 to 1288 of the family's 2925-position model. The record is from RNAcentral. Lineage: Bacteria; Bacillati; Bacillota; Bacilli; Caryophanales; Staphylococcaceae.
GAGCGGAUGAACUGAGGGUAGCGGAGAAAUUCCAAUCGAACCUGGAGAUAGCUGGUUCUCUCCGAAAUAGCUUUAGGGCUAGCCUCAAGUGAUGAUUAUUGGAGGUAGAGCACUGUUUGGACGAGGGGCCCCUCUCGGGUUACCGAAUUCAGACAAACUCCGAAUGCCAAUUAAUUUAACUUGGGAGUCAGAACAUGGGUGAUAAGGUCCGUGUUCGAAAGGGAAACAGCCCAGACCACCAGCUAAGGUCCCAAAAUAUAUGUUAAGUGGAAAAGGAUGUGGCGUUGCCCAGACAACUAGGAUGUUGGCUUAGAAGCAGCCAUCAUUUAAAGAGUGCGUAAUAGCUCACUAGUCGAGUGACACUGCGCCGAAAAUGUACCGGGGCUAAACAUAUUACCGAAGCUGUGGAUUGUCCUUUGGACAAUGGUAGGAGAGCGUUCUAAGGGCGUUGAAGCAUGAUCGUAAGGACAUGUGGAGCGCUUAGAAG